This 3193-nucleotide long non-coding RNA is filed under the name Pan troglodytes (chimpanzee). RNAcentral's name for it is "lincRNA". Lineage: Eukaryota; Metazoa; Chordata; Mammalia; Primates; Hominidae. The record is from RNAcentral.
AAGUGAGAAAUGCUGCCUGGUGAGCUGGGCUGGCUGCCUGGUGAGCUGGGCUGGCUGGGCUGCUGGCCCUCGGUCAGCCGCCUGCAACAGGCAGGGCCACGGGAACCUCAUCAGCAGAGCUUCCUGGAGGCAGCGUGGGUGGAAUUGUGGAAUUGUCAUCAGACAGGCCUGGGAUGGAGCUUCCCCACUGGAACGCAGCUGGCUGUGGACAGGGAGUCAGCUGCUGCCUGAAGGGUCAAGGAGGCCUGCGACCACAGCAGGUUCCCACCUGGCCUGGGCCUGGAGGCCAGCAGGCACCUUUCAGGGCUUCCCAGCUCAGCCCCCACAGCUGGAUGGAGCUGUGUUCCCUGCAGAAGUGUGGCCGGCUCCAAGCAGGCACUGGGGGCUCUUUCCCUCCACCUCAGCCCUGGCCUAUGUGGGCAGAGAACGUGCUCACACCAUGGGGGCCCCCGACCAGGCGAGGCCAGGGCGUGUCCACAUUGGGGAAGUGAACGAAGAAGGACAAGUCUAUUUGAGGGGCUGGCUGAUAGUUUAGAAGCCCAGAAUCGCCUGGCAGUGAAUUAUUCUGCUGAGUAACACUGUACCCAGAGGGACGUGGCUGAAAACCCCGGGAGGGGAGGCUGCGUGCCGGAAGCACUCCCAUCCUCCCCCAGCGCCUGCUCUGGGCGUUCUGGAGCUCAGCGUGCAUCCUUGCCUAUGCUCACCUGUGAAGAGGGAGAAUGUCGCUGUCCGAGCAAGUGUCUCUUCUGUGUCCUUGGCUGCCUUCCUCCUCCUCCUCCUCCCGCCGCCUACUUUGGGGCCCCUUCCUCUUCUCAGCAGUGCCACUGACCAGCCCAGCCUCAUGCACCAUCCCGGCCGUUGCCCUGGAGGGCUGGCAGCUGGCAGGACCCAGAGAGGGCCCAGCCAUCACCCCUCCCUUGAGCAGAUGACAGAGUAACACUGGGAGUUACUAUGGACACUGGAAAAGAGAACACAGAUGCAUCUGAGAUUUUGUAGUUGCAACUCUUCUCUGGUAACCAAAAAACAUCAGGACAUUCAUUGCAAAUGCAACGCUGAGGCUUUGAAGGAACCAAAGAGUUCCUUUGCAGCCCUGAGGACGGAGGGAGGGAGGGAAAAGGGAGUGGGGAGGGAGGGAGGGAGGGAGUCCACUGCAGAAAGUGGCACUGAUCCCUCUGAGCCUCUCCGGCCUCAUGUGUAAGAUGCCAGCUGCCCCGGAGUGGCAGUGGCGAGUGAGUGGCUGUGUAAGGUGCCCAGGCAGGAGCAUGUGGGCAGCCCUGUGUGAAGCGGGCAGCCUUGGGCCAGGUUCCCUAGAAGCAGAGCUGAGAUGGGGAUUCUUGUUCAUGCGAUUGGAGGUGCUUCCUAAGAAGUUGCUCCCUGCCCCAACUCCGAGCCAGGGCGGCACUGACCAUGGGCAACUUUCCCUUGCAGGGGGCACUCCCAGCUGCCGGGGAGGGGCAGUGGCCCUGAAGGGGCCUGGUCAGGACCAACAGUUUUCUUGGCAGUGGUGUGUUUGUCCCCAUUUCACAGAUGAGGAAACUGAGGCUUGGAGAGACCCAGGUCCUUGCCCAGGCCCCCACACCACACCCAGGAGGGGCGGCGCUGGAGUCCUGCACCACGUCGCUGUUCUCACCAGGAGAAGGCCCUCGUUUGCUGCAUCCAGCUACCCCAUCUCCAUGCUGCAGGCAGGAGGACACAGCCGGGGCUCCUGGAAGCCUCUCGCGUUCCUGGGCUAGGGAACCUUCCUCCAUCUCAGAGCCGGCCAUGGGGUGUCCCCUGACCUUCUGCAGCCAUGUCCCCCUUCGAUGGAGCUCUGCUUCUGGCCCUUGCUCCGCACUGAAGGCCCCUGUGAUCACAUGGCCCACCCGCCAAUCCAGGUGGCCUCCCUCCAAGGUCAGCCGGUGAGCUGCCUUCAUGCCUGCAUGGUGUCUCUGACCCUUGGCCACGCAACCUAACGUAGUCACAGGUCCUGGAGAUUUGCACUGGGAUAUCUUGGGUGAGGGGAAUUAUUCUGCUGACCCCCGAUGGCAACUGGAGUGGUGGGAGGGGAAGAGAACACCAGGAUGUGUUCAGAGAGAGAGGCGUGGACCUCAGGGGGUGUCAGGGGAAGAGGGCCCGGGAGGGAGAAAGCAUUUGGUUUAGACGUGUUGGGUGUGAGGUGCCCAUGGAAUAGCAGGGUGGAGCUGGUGGGGGAAGCUGGGGGGCUGCCCUGGGGCUCUAGCACAUGGAGGCCAAGGAGGGAGUCGUGGGGUGGAGGGGGCACAGGGCUCCCCAAGGUCCUGGGUCUGCCUCAGGGCCGCUGCUACUCCGCACCCCUCCUCCCAUGCCUGAGCACCCACGGCAGUGACCAGCAGUGACCAUCAUCACCCAAUGAGGAUGGAGAGAAACUGAGGCUGGCCUGAGAUGUCCUGGGGAAUGAGCUGGCACCGGAGUCCCACAGGUGAAGGCUGAUGAAAUUCUAGGAGAGUCAUGUCCUAAAGGAUAAGAAGCAACUAUUCGUUGAGAUGAGAGACUUCAAAGAUAGUCAAUGGUUGUGAAAGUCGGCCAGCCUUUCUGGACCAUCUCGUGCAAUUGCUCUAAUCUAUCCCUGUAAUAGAUCCCUUUAAUACACUUUGUCAUAUGAAUUUUCUUUUUAGUUUUUAGUUUUCUUUUGUUGUUGUUGUUGUUGUUGUUUUCCCAUUUUUAAAAAUUAUUAUUAUUGUGGAGACAGAGUCUCACUCUGUCACCCAGGCUGGAGUGCAGUGGUGUGAUCUCGGUUCACUGCACCCUCUGCCUCCCAGGUUCAAGCAAUUCUCCUGCCUCAGCCUCCUGUUUUUGUAUUUUUAGUAGAGACAGGGUUUCACCAUGUUGGCCAGGCUGGUCUCAAACUCCUGACCUCAAGUGAUCCGCCCACCUCGGCCUCCCAAAGUGUUGGGAUUACAGGCGUGAGCCACCACACCCAGGCCCAUUGUUUUUAAUUAUCAACGUAAUUUUUUACAAUUUGUUAUUCUAUGUAUUUCAUCUUUGCAUAAUUUCCAGUAUGGGAGGUAUAAAUUGUGUAAAGACUUUGAGAGUUCUAAUUUGUUGUAUGCAUUUUUUACAAAUGUGACUCCAUGAAAAUGAUUAUCACAACAUUGACUUUAUGUGUAAGCAUUGUGUGUGUGUGUACAUAAAAUCGUCAAAACUUCCUCAAUAAAUGAAGAGAUGUCCUUUUUGU